GUAGAAGAUACUGGAAGAUCAACUCUAAUUUGUGGCUGGCUUCCCAGCAGUCUCUUUACUUCACCAUAUCUGGGAGCCAGAAGUACUCACAUGUGAUAACUCAAAAGGCAGAACAAUCAGUCAAGGGCAAGUUGGUUUAUUUUUGUUCACGGGUGUCCCUGUGCAUUCCCAAACAAAAUGAAGGUGAAGAGAGGAAGUGUGGAAAAGAUAAUGGCUUUCAGAUGUCCACAGCAGUUUUUGCCUGGACCAUUUUUCAUCAUUUAGUGGUGGGGUUUCAAUUUCUAAUAUGCAGAGCAAUCACCCAGCCUUUCCCACAGCUAAGACUUUGAGAGAUGUAGUAAAGCAGCACAGUGUAUAAUCUGGUCCUCAACACUGGCACACAGAGUAAGGCUUGAUUCAACCUUGCCACCUAAAAUUAUAUGCUCCAACUAUCCAACAAAUAAAGCGUUGAAUAGGAGACCUCCAAAAAAUAACAGUGAUGCAAGAAGCAAUGAUGAAUCAAGGGGAAACACAUUUCCUUUGGAUGGGCUUGAAUCAGUGCCUUGUCAUGGUGGGAAGUGCCUGUCAUAUGAUGCUGGCCUUACUUUCCUUCAGUUGAGAAAUAAAAGUGAGGUUCUGACUGCAUGUCAUCAAACCGCCUCAGGCUCUUUGGCAAAGGUAGAGAAUGUUAGCUCUGGUGUCCUGGACCGUUUCCAUCCUGGAGAAUUAUAUUUGGCCUGGGCGUGGAUUAAAUUCAGCUCUAAGAGCUCAAACUCCUGGGUCACAACCUGCUACUUUGGGAUUUUUUUUCCCCAUUGCCUCCCUCCUUUCUUUUUUUAAUUUAAAGUAGUCUUAGAUAAAUCACAAAAUCUGUAUGCCUUUAUAUAUAGGAGAUUUAUAUGAAAUAGGAGAUUGCCUUCAGAUUUAUACAAGCUUCUUAGCUUAUUCUGAAACACUAAGAAUGAAAACAAAAAUGCCACUUAACUACUUAGAAUUAAUAGUACCUUUCUGUAACUCCAAAUAGAUAGGGUGUCCUUCACUUUUCACCCUGGUAUGGUCUUGCUAUCAAACUGUUCAAAUAUGCUCCAUUUCCCCCUCUUUAUUUCAGAGAUGGAUGAAAUAUUUCUCUUGUGCACUGAAUAUAGGGUAUGAUCUCAGAGCUCUCUGUGCCAGCAGAAUCAGCCUGGAACUCAGCCAAAAGUUCUUCGUGAUUAAAGGUGCCAUCUGAGCACACAAUAUUUUUUUAAAAGCCUUGCAAAAUGGAAACACACUUUUAUUAUUUUUUUAACGUCACUAGCUUUAACACCAGGACUGACUUGAGCCUUUAGGGAAGGAUCACAGGCCUCAAUCCCUCUCUUCUUUCCCCCUGCCCUCUCAUCAUGUUUCUUGGUCAAAUGUCUUAUGAUAAGGCCAAGUCCAUACAGCUAAAUAAACUCAAUAAAUGGAGUUCCAAGACAACUCCACAAAUCAUCAGUUGCAGAUUCAAGGACCUCCUGAACCACAUGCCUUGUAAGUUGGGAUACAGCAAGAUUUGAUGGUAAAGUUUGCCUUUAUUUAUUUUUUUUUUUUUAGCUUAUUUUUUGUAAUCUCUACACCCUAUGUGGGGCUCAAACUCACAACCCUGAGAUCAAGAGUUGCGUGCUGUUCCAAGAGAGAGCCAGCCAGGUGCCCAGAAAAGUUUGGCUUUAUAAUGCAAACAAUGCUAGUGUAUCUUCUAGAAAGACCUCUCACUUGAGAAUUGAUAGUCAUCUCUUGAGAUGGUAGUGUCUCAUGAUUUUCCAUUUUUUUCAGAAUGGUAUUCCUUUACUUGCUUUUGCAAUUUUUUACUUCUCUUUUACAUCCCAAACUAUGUGAUGGGGAUUAAGGAGUGCGCUUGUGGUGAUGUAGGUAAGUGUUGAAUCACUAUAUUGUACACCUGAAACUAAUAUUACACUGUAUGUUAACUAACUGCAAUUUAAAUAAAACUUUUUUAAAAAAGGAAAGAAAAAAGAAAAUCUCUGAUACUGUUAAUUACAUCAUCCCAAGGCACUGAAAAAUUGUAACACUGGAUGAAUAAAUGGUCUUCAUGGAAGUGGCAUUCCUCCAGAUGCUGCUAAACUCCUGGGCUUAGGGGGCACUGUUAGAGGGCUUCCUCAGACCCCUCAGCACAUGAUAACGAUCUUCUCUGCCUCCCUCACCCUACUUUGGGUCCUCCCACAGGUUUAGGGUCACAAAAAAUCAGAUCUCUCUCUCUAGCCUAACAUGCUCCCCUCUUUUUGUCAUCUGCCCUUCCAGCAACACAGGGGUCACCUGGAUGAUCCGCAUGCUGCUGCCCUAAACUUCCCCUCCAUCAAGGCAACAGCUUUCAGCUCAGCUCUCACCAGGAAAGAGAGAGCAAAUGAGAUCCAAAUGACAGGAACAAUAGUCUAGGCUGUUUGACAAGGGCAGGGCACAAACAGGGCAGGCAGCUGGUGAGUUCUGUUACCUCAUUUAAUCUCCAUAACCCUGAGGAAGAGGGUUGUAUUUUUAUUCUCAUUUUACAGAUGAGGAAAUUGAGACCCAGAGCAGUGAGGGGACUUGUUCAAAGCCACUCAGGUACUUAGUAGCAGAGCCAGUAUUAGAGCCCCAGGUCCCAACAGCCAGGUAAGUACCUUUUCCACUGUACCACAGCUUGCCUCUCCUUUUCAUUCACUUGGCAAGUGUUAAUGGAUGCUUCUAAACACUGGGGAUACAAAAAUGAAUAAGACAGAGUGUCUAACAUUGAGUCCAGAGCUCACAGAGGAGGGGCCAACAAAGGAAUAAAUAAUUAUAGGCAUGUAAGGCUAUAAUAGAGAAAUUGACAAAGUGCUAUGUGAGCCUCCAAAACAGUGAUGAUCUCUUCCCACAUGCAGGUAAUAACAUCAAGGAGGUGACAUUUGAGCUGUCCCAAACUCAAGGGGAGUUUCUGUUUUCCAAAUCUGUAGCAUUAGCUCCAAGCCUGAAAACGUUUCAGUGAAAGCUGACCCAAAUAUCAGGUCACCAAAGAGUCCCUCAUCAUCUUUGAUCAGAUUGCAACAACCUCCUCAUAAUCUCCCUGUCUUGUCCUCCUCCAGUCCAUACUAUGCACAGAGUGAUGGCUCUAAAAAAUCUGAACAUACUACUUCCUUGCACAAACCCUGCCGUGAUUCCUUUUGCCUAUAGGCUAAAUUUUGAAUCUCUCAGACUGGCAUUCAAGGCUUUGAUGAUCUAGCCCCUGUCUACCUCUUCCAUCUCUUCUCACACAGUUCUAUCCUGUCACUCCUAAGACUAAUCAUACUGAAGUACUGAAGUCCUCAGAACAGGAGAAAUUUCUCCUCACAAAACACACUCCACUGUCAAGUGGCAAACUCCCACUUCCAUGCAUCUGAUCGUGCAGACUCUGCUUAUGCAGCCCCCUGUACCAGCCUCUGCACAGCCCUUGGCACACCAUGUUCAAAGUGUCUUUUUCUAGAUCUAUCUCUCCCCCACCAUGAGGGAGAUCUUCAUGGGUGGAGAACGUGUUCUUGAAUCAUUAGUGCCAAAUAUCAGGCCUGGCACACAGUGGGUAGCCAGUGAAUGUUCUUUGAGCAAAUAAACAAAAAUUGUAGAAACUAAACUCUCUAAGAAGUUUCUGGGGCAGUCUAAGUUCAGGUUACCCUGAUAAUCAGAAAGGAUUAGGUCUUCAGCUGAUUCCCGUUUAUUUAAGAGGACAAAAAGAAAAUUUAAAAAUUGUACAGUUUUUGGUUACAGAAAUCCAAGAGGCAGAUAGUGACCCUUCUCUCCUGCUGGCUGCCUCUAGGGUCUUCACCACAGACACUCAGUUCUGCUGCUCUUUUAUUUUAUCAGCUGUGAAUUGUUUGCAAAAUUCCAAGCAGCUUGUAGGAAAUUCAGGAAAACUCAGCAGCGAGAAGAGAAGCUGGUUUCACUUUCCAACCCAGCUCAUUUCUGAAAUGUAACACCAUAUAGGGUUUUUAAAGUAUGCUCACUUCCUGUGGCCAUGAUUUCAAUAGUUUGGAACAAUUUGCAGUUCGUGCCUCCCUUCUGGAAUGUACAAUAAUUACCCUAUAAUUCCACAGGUCUCAAAUCUAAACUGUCUUAUAUGUUUCAUUGUUAGAGGGCAAAAUCAGUCCAGUUCCUGUUUUGGACAUUUUGGUUUAAAAAAUUUUUUUAAAUCAACAACUAAUAGCAUUUUUCUUUGCUUCUAUGAACAAUAAAGUCACAAGCAUCCUCUAGAAGUAUUUUAUAAAAUCGAUAUGUUAAAACAAGGCCUCCUGCAUCCUCCUCUGACACAUUUACGGGAGCAUCAUCCUUGAAAUCUGAGAAAAUGAUGCAGCCUCUGGGGCUUACGGAUCACCACUGAGUAAGAAAAGUACAAGUAUAGAAUGUGAAAGACCUCAUCAUUUAUAUUUUCAGCUCUGGGAAUUUGAAAAAUGAUACACCCACAGUGAAAUUCUUUUCAUUCAAGGAUAGGGACUACCUUGUGCUCUGCUCAUCUUAUGCUUCUUGCAAAGGAGGCACUCAGUGAGGAUCACUGUUAUUCCCCAAAAUCAUUCAGGAUCGUGUUUCUCCCCUCUUGAUGCCAAUUUGUGAAAUUCUAAAUUAUGUAAUG
Molecule: long non-coding RNA, 4564 nt
Filed under: Lynx pardinus (Iberian lynx)
Lineage: Eukaryota; Metazoa; Chordata; Mammalia; Carnivora; Felidae
Source: RNAcentral